AGUAAUGAAGGAAAUAGGAAAGGAAAAAAAAGUAUAGGCCUUGUUAUUGUUUUAGGCUCGCUACUGGUGGUGGUGGUGGUGUGUUUGUGAUUUUGCAGCUUGCGUGUGUCUGGUGUCCGCCGGUGCCUGGUACAGCAAAGUGAGGCUUGCACUGCACCAGAGAGGGAAGGCUGUAGCUGCUGCUGUCUAUGUUGCUAAGGAGACUCAUCCUUCCUACAGCAAGAACCUUUCACUGCCGCCACUACAGCAUGGAGCUCAAGGAGAUCGUGGCAGUCCUGAACCGCUUCGCUGCGCCGUCCCUGGCUGAGUCCUGGGACAACGUGGGUCUCCUGGUGCAGCCAUACACUCAGAGAGAGAUCAAAACUGUGCUGUUGACCAAUGACCUGAGUGAGGAGGUGAUGGAUGAGGCAGUGCAACACAAGGCUGACCUCAUCCUCUCCUACCACCCACCUCUCUUCCGGCCCUUCAAGAAAAUCACUACUGGAUGGAAGGACAGGAUUGUUGCGUGCUGCCUGGAGAAGGGCAUUGCUGUGUACUCGCCCCACACGGCAUACGACACGCUGAAGGGAGGCGUCAACGACUGGUUGCUCAAAGCUUUUGAUGUGGGUGAAGUGACUCCACUGCAGCAGAAGGAUGUCCCGCUGCCACACAGCCACCAGGUGGAGGCAGCCCUGGAGUCUGAUGCUGCUGUUCAGGACUUGAUCCAGAGAGUCACUCAAGAGGUUGGGGAGCAAGUCACUGUUUUAAAGUAUGGUACAAAUUGCAUGAAGGUCCUUUGUGGAGAGAGAGAUCUGCCUGCCAUUGUCAGUCUGACCAGUACAAAUUCUGCUGCUCCAGCCAAACUUGUGGUCACUAAACUAGAAAAGGUGCCUUUAGUGGGGCACGGUGCAGGGCGGCGGGGCAGCCUGGCAGAGCCAAUCACUGUACAGCAGGCCAUCAGCCGGGUCAAGACUCACCUUGGCUUGCCUCACCUGCGAGUGGCCUUGGCUCACGGCUCGACUCUCGACACUCAAGUCAAUAGUGUGGCAGUGUGUGCUGGGUCUGGGGUGUCGGUGCUGCGUGGAGCCAGUGCUGACCUGUGGCUUACCGGGGAGAUGAGUCACCAUGAGGUCUUGGAUGCAACACACGGAGGCUCCACCGUCAUCCUUGUUGAUCACUCCAACUCAGAGCGAGGCUUUCUUAAGGAGCUGCAGCCUACACUACACCAACUCUUUGAGGAGAAAGUAAAUGUCCUCAUUUCACAGAAGGACAGAGAUCCACUUCAGAUCAUUUAAUUUCCAAAAAGUUGAUUGAUCAAUGGAUUUCAUCACAGGACUCGCAUCAGGAAAACGAGCAAUGACAGAGUGACAGCAGCAGUAGCACCAGGUCACCAGUCAAACUAAUCAAGUGUCUGUCACAGCCACGUAUUGGCACCACAGCAGUAUUCUAUAUGGUUUGAUAUUUUGGUUUAGAAGGUGAAAUACAUGCAUGCAUCUUUUAAGUGGCUGUGCCUUGAUGGAUGAGAAGUACACAAUUUUAGUGCCUAAUUUAACUUAAUAGAUGAAGUAAAUAAAAUUAAAAGUAUAAAAAAUCUUAUUUACUUUAGCUAUAAAAUACACAACUACACAUUACACUUAACCUCAGUGCUUGGUGAAGCGCUGACACACUGCCACUCAACAAAAGCAACAAACUUUUGUAAUACAAGUUUAGGACCAUCCAACAGUUCCAAGAGUAGCACUUACUCAUUGGCACUUAUAAGGCAUAUUAUUCAAACAGUUAAAUAGCAUCAUAGUCACAUGCAGCACAUCGCAAAUCAUUCCAUGUCACCAUUGUUCCAUGGAGACUUACAUCUGGCAACAGUCAUAAGGCUAGUGCAUGUACCAUAUUGUGUACUAAAAUAAAACCUUCCAUACAGAUACAGAACACAGUCGUUCACCGUCACAAGACGGUAACGUGACAGUGUAGAGAGCAGCAGCAUUGUUAAAGAGUAAUGGAAAGACUUGAGAGGCUACUUCAAAAUGCUCUCUUCUUAUGGGAAAGGCACAUAAAUACUUGUAUUAUUGCAUCACUCACAAUGAUUAUCUGAGCUAAUAUAAUGAAUUUUAUAUUACAUGCCAACAUAAUAUUGCUUUACAAAACCAUGUCAAAAGAAAUAUAAUCAAAUAAAAAAAUAAUUGCA
Molecule: RNA transcript, 2158 nt
Organism: Portunus trituberculatus (swimming crab)
Lineage: Eukaryota; Metazoa; Arthropoda; Malacostraca; Decapoda; Portunidae
Gene name: NIF3-like protein 1
Exons: 10
Source: RefSeq, a predicted model, not a curated record